GCCUAACAACAGACAAUCAAAAGCAACAAUGAAAGUUUUUGCUAUUCUAACCAUUACUCUUGUCUUAACUGGAGCCCACGCGGGCUUCUUGGAUGAAUUCAAAGCCACUCUUCAGUCCAUUGGUGAUAACAUCAAAAACGUAUACGCUGGAGUUAAGCCCCUGCUCAGCAGUGCUGUUGGUAAACUUGUCGGAGAAUUAAAAACAACUGGAUCUCAGAUCUUAGCACAGGGUGCACAAGCUCUUCUCGCUAGUCUUAAUGGAGGCAAUACCACCACACGUGAUGUUGAUCUUUUGGAUAAAGUCGGCCAAUUCAUCAAGAAUGGUGAAAGUAGUAUUGCAACUCUCUCCCACACCAUUGGAAAUCUUUUCAACGCUGCCGUUGCCAAGCUCACCGAGUUAGCUGGAAAGCUUGAAAACGCACGACUCUACGGACAACCCGUUAGCAAAUACAUCAGUGAAAUCGAAGAGG
This is a long non-coding RNA of Patella vulgata (common limpet), 470 nucleotides long. RefSeq lists it as uncharacterized. The transcript is spliced from 4 exons. The record is from RefSeq and is a predicted model, not a curated record. NCBI's taxonomy places the organism in Eukaryota, Metazoa, Mollusca, Gastropoda, Patellidae.